Molecule: ribosomal RNA, 439 nt
Filed under: uncultured bacterium
Lineage: Bacteria
Description: partial 16S ribosomal RNA
Rfam family: Bacterial small subunit ribosomal RNA
Source: RNAcentral
CUACGGGGGGCUGCAGUGAGGAAUACUGCACAAUGGGGGGAACCCUGAUGCAGCAACGCCGCGUGGAGGAUGACGCAUUUCGGUGUGUAAACUCCUUUUAUAUGUCAAGAAAAUGACGGUAGCAUAUGAAUAAGCACCGGCUAACUCCGUGCCAGCAGCCGCGGUAGUACGGAGGGUGCAAGCGUUACUCGGAAUCACUGGGCGUAAAGGACGCGUAGGCGGGUUGGAAAGUCAGGUGUGAAAUCCUACAGCUUAACUGUAGAACUGCACUUGAAACUUCUAAUCUAGAGUAUGGGAGGGGGAGAUGGAAUUAGUGGUGUAGGGGUAAAAUCCGUAGAUAUCACUAGGAAUACCUAAAGCGAAGGCGAUCUCCUGGAACAUUACUGACGCUAAGGCGUGAAAGCGUGGGGAGCAAACAGGAUUAGAUACCCCCGUAGUC